AUUGAACGCUGGCGGCAGGCUUAACACAUGCAAGUCGAGCGGAGAUGAGGUGCUUGCACCUUAUCUUAGCGGCGGACGGGUGAGUAAUGCUUAGGAAUCUGCCUAUUAGUGGGGGACAACAUUCCGAAAGGAAUGCUAAUACCGCAUACGUCCUACGGGAGAAAGCAGGGGAUCUUCGGACAUUGCGCUAAUAGAUGAGCCUCAGUCGGAUUAGCUAGUUGGUGGGGUAAAGGCCUACCAAGGCGACGAUCUGUAGCGGGUCUGAGAGGAUGAUCCGCCACACUGGGACUGAGACACGGCCCAGACUCCUACGGGAGGCAGCAGUGGGGAAUAUUGGACAAUGGGGGGAACCCUGAUCCAGCCAUGCCGCGUGUGUGAAGAAGGCCUUAUGGUUGUAAAGCACUAUAAGCGAGGAGGAGGCUACUGAGACUAAUACUCUUGGAUAGUGGACGUUACUCGCAGAAUAAGCACCGGCUAACUCUGUGCCAGCAGCCGCUGUAA
Molecule: ribosomal RNA, 501 nt
Filed under: uncultured bacterium
Lineage: Bacteria
Description: partial 16S ribosomal RNA
Rfam family: Bacterial small subunit ribosomal RNA
Source: RNAcentral